Molecule: long non-coding RNA, 1874 nt
Organism: Olea europaea var. sylvestris
Lineage: Eukaryota; Viridiplantae; Streptophyta; Magnoliopsida; Lamiales; Oleaceae
Exons: 2
Source: RefSeq, a predicted model, not a curated record
UACCACAUCCGUUAGGCCCGUUAAGUUGAGUAAGCGCAACUCACUGCAGGAAUGUCUAGAUAUGGUCCACAACCCAUGUUAACAUAGGAAGUUGGUCCUCAACCUUGCACUAUAUUUGCAGAAUCAAUCCCCAACGAGCCAAAGACCAUCAAAAUCUUUGUUAAAUCGUCACAUAAUCCCCAUGCAAACAUGCCUCAUUUCAAAAUUUGGACAUAAGUCUAAGUUGAGAAACAAAACCUUAGCUUCAUAAAGUUGGACAUGCGAGGAUCACAUUAGGAUUUAACAGAGUUUUGAUUGUUUGUGUCUUUAAUGAUUGAUUUCCAAGUAUAAUAAAAGGUUGAUAAUCGACUUACUCUAUAUUAUAAGGUUGGCAAGCAACUUGUUAAUCGCGUAAAAGGUUUUCUAAAGAUCUCUUCUAGAUAUCUAUAAUUUAUCCUAAUGGAGCAAAGGUGAAACAAUUUUUGACCACAUGGGACAGGAGCUAGAGUGAAUGCAUUACAGCAGACUCCAGAAAAAUAAUAAAAUUGAUGAGCCCUCACUAUUUCUUCAUUUUAUUAUUAAAACUAUACUGAGAUUUAUUGGCACAAAUUUGAGGAUCGAGGUGCCUUAAAACUAGGCUUCUCAAGAAUCCUUCAACAUUGACGAACUAAUCUGAUUUAACAGACCACAUGCAGAAGCAGGAAUCACCUAUUACUUUAGGAGCAAAAACGAGAAAAGUUAUUUGAAGGCAACAUUAAUGAACAUAAAAAGACAAUUUAAGAAACAUACGGUUGAACAGCCAUUUCAUAAGACUGAAAUUAUCCUAAAGCCACAGAUCAGGAGCUUCAGCAUUUUGUGCUUCCCUUUACGCUCAAUAAUCUCGAGCAUUCCUAUAACACACCUAAGAUCAUUUUCACUCUUCAUAUGUUAUGGUCAUUUUCGCUCUUCAUAUAGUGGGAAAUUGAAUUCUUUAGGUUUUGGGAAAAUAGUGUACCCCCUAACAUCUGAAGAAAGCAAAAGUCCUCCUACACUAGUAAAUAAUAGUUAGAUUACCAAUGGAGUCUAAUUUUAUUAAUAGAAACCCAAAAAUGGCCACCAGAAGUAUGCAUUAACCAUAUUUUGGCAUUUUUUCUUACAACGACCAGUGUACUGGGCUAGUUAGAAUCUGAACACUGGCUAAUUUAGAACUUGAAUGACAAAUUGAAAGCAAGAAGUGAAACACUUCUCAAUAUUCAACAGGCAGAAAAAGAAAGAGUUGCAAGGAAGCUUUUUAUUUGUUUAAUUUAUUGUAUAAUUACAUAGACAUAAAAGUUGGAUUUUGAUUCUUAUACUAUAUAUAAAAGUAAUGUCUUUUGUUUUUGUUUUCAAAUGUGCUGAAAGGAAAAUUAGUAAUAGUAAUGAGGUUUACAUUAUUAACAAAUUGAGAUACGAGGUGCAUCUACUAAUUAUUUUUGGCCAGUAUCAAGGGUAAUUGCUUUUGAAUCAAACGUAAGGAGUAGCUUCGAUUUUGUGAGACCUCAAGAGAUGUUUGAGCUUUUCAUUCAUCAGACAAUGCUUUGAAGAGCCUCCAUGUGCAUUUUUUUUCUCAAGAGAAAUGGAUUCGAUAAUAAAAUCUCAUUAAAGAAAUCAUCUUAUAGCCAAUUGGCAAUAACACAAGCUCAACUUAUUCAAAAAUCUAAAUCCACAUGUACGAGUAAAGUUCAAAGAAAGAGAUCUAUCUUCCAGCCACACCACCGCAAGUCCAAACCUUUCACAAACAGAUUCCUAUUACUUCAUCUUACUCUUCUUUUUGUUCACUUAUCUACAAUAACUGUUUUUGUCCCAGAGAUAUAUGUUAUGCUGCUACUUCCAGAAACUUGAAUCAUGCAAUUUCUGUUUUAAAAAAAAAAAAAAAA